This is a long non-coding RNA of Bos taurus (domestic cattle), 1034 nucleotides long. The record is from Ensembl. Lineage: Eukaryota; Metazoa; Chordata; Mammalia; Artiodactyla; Bovidae.
GGAUAAAGCAGCAGGGCGGCCUGAGGUCGGAUGGGUGGGGAGUGCAGGGAGAUGGGAAAAAGCUGGGAUAAUCUCGGUCCAUGAAGGUGUUAACCUCGCCACAGGCCUCUGCAUGUUCAAAAGUGGAGGCACUUAGAGACUAAGGGUGAAGUUCUCAGCUCUGAUGUCAAAGGUCGUGGAGAGGAGAUUCGUGCUUGCCCCCUGGAGGCUCGGAAGUCCUGUCCACUCUUAACCAGCUCAGCUGGAACCCGGCCCAGCUGACUCCAAGCUCCUGGGGAACAACUCAGCACCCGCUCCCCUUGCGCAGCACACCGCGGUGGCUGACUGCAGCCUUGCAGUGAAAUAAAGCAGUAAGUCAGCACUUACCCUCAGACGUUCACACUCAACCAAGUGGGAAGGUCAGACUCAUCUCCCUCCCGCCGCCUUUGCGACACCCCCGUCUCAGGACAGCUGCAGGGCUGGGCCCACGUCCACAGUCCUCGCUGUGCAGCUUCAAACCUGGAAAACGGAGACCGCUUCAGAAACUCUUCAGAACACACCUUCCAGACUAGGCCGUGGCAUUGAAUAAACAAUGAAUGUGGAAGCCUGAUCAAGAACAAACAUGGAUACUGAGGGGUAAGGGGUGGGCAAGGACUGGGAGAUGGGGACUGACGUGCAGGCACCAUCAACAUGACGCACGACACCCGUGACUGAUGGCAACCUCCUGGGCAGCGCGGGAAGUGCUACUGAGGGCGCCGUGGUAAGCCACCUGGGAAGGAAUCCAAAACAGAGGCUGUAUGUGUGCACACAGCCGCCCACUUUGCUGUGCAGUAGAAACACAACACUGUAAAGCAGGUAAAGCCAACAGGAAUUAGUUUAAAAAUACACUUACAAAACCCCAAUCCCCCUGAACACGGACGACCUGCAAGACUGACUUGGGGCUGGUGGACUGGUCGUGCCCCUCCUGUCGCCCGACGCGGCUGCCCGCAGGAAAGAGGUCUAGUCACCGGCUCCCUGGUUCUCAGAGACCCUCUGGUGACACCUUGUGGGCACGU